UUAUAUGGAUAAUUGAAUACAGAUUGACUGUCGUGCCAAGUAAUGGAACUGGAAAAUUGAAACCAACUACAAAGUCCAGAAGAUAUAAAGCAAGAAAGAAAUACAAAUAAAUGUGCAAGAAGGAAAAGCAAAAUUAAUAAAAUAAAAGGAGUUAAUUGCAAAAUUAAUAAUCUCCGAGCCGGCGAGACUUCACUGUCGUCUUUUGGUGCUUACGUUGACG
RNAcentral lists this long non-coding RNA (220 nucleotides) under Erythranthe guttata (spotted monkey flower). RNAcentral describes it as "long non-coding RNA (EGUT_LNC000447)". The record is from RNAcentral. Lineage: Eukaryota; Viridiplantae; Streptophyta; Magnoliopsida; Lamiales; Phrymaceae.